GCUGUGAAGUUGGAUUCAUAAGCCUUGGGCUGGGCCUUUUCUUCUGGGAAGUGGGGCUGGGCCUUCGUUAAGGUACAAGGGUGUUUGGAGGGAAGAUGAAAGGGUGCUACGGUUUGCUUGUGAACUGAGGCGUUAGUACCCUUGAGGCUUUAUAAAUAGGAACUUGGGGUGACGGAGAAAAAUUUUUAGAAAGUGAGAAGGAGAAAAGGAGAUUUUCGGCGAGAUUUUGGUGGUGGAGCUUGUGGCCAAGGUGAUUUCCAGCGUCUUUACGUGGUGGUGCAAACAAGGUUCGGUGAAGUAGGAGCCAAUCUCAAAGGAGCAAGACGACGAAGUUGAGAGGGUGAGAUCACUGCUAUCAAAGACUGAGCGUGAGUGUAAAAACCUAGUCACUCAGAAGAAUCUGCUUGAAUCCAGCCUUUUGCAAGGAGUGGCAAGUAUCAUAAAGGGAAACACGAAGGUGGAUGUGGAUCUAGAUGAUGCCGAGAUGCAGAGACGGCUUAGGGAGUCUCGGGCGCAGAAGGCUGAGAAGGAAGGUGCCAAGCAGACUACUGGUAAGCAUCCUAGAGAUGACAAUGAAGGCUUGGUUGCUGAUGUGCUGGUUAAGAAGAGAGCGCUGGAGGAAGCUCACCAGAGUGUGAUGGGAACAGGGCCGAGGCUUCCUCUCUUUGACCUGCAGGCGCCGCCGAAGCUCCCCUUCGGUAUGGAGGACAGUUAUGUCGAGGGGGUGGAGUAGGUGGACUUCUCUAGGCUACGUCGGCAGAAGAAUGAGGUAAACCUUGCCAUGCAUCGGCAUGAGGUUUCCUUAAUGAACGUCUUCUUGGAAGGCGUGAAGAGUGAUCCCGAGGUUUUGGCCAGGACAUCGGCCUCGUCCUAUGUAGAUCUGGCCCAGAAGACGUUCCUUACCCAUUCCUAUGCCUAUGGCAAGAUGUACGUGAAUAUGGCCAAGGCAGAUAAAGAGAUCCAGAGAGUAAAGAGGUGCAAUGAGAUGGCUAAAGACAAAAUAGCGGAGACGCAGGAGGCCAUCCGA
Non-coding RNA from Prunus mume (Japanese apricot), 1027 nucleotides. Lineage: Eukaryota; Viridiplantae; Streptophyta; Magnoliopsida; Rosales; Rosaceae. The record is from RefSeq and is a predicted model, not a curated record.